This is a long non-coding RNA of Calidris pugnax (ruff), 425 nucleotides long. RefSeq lists it as uncharacterized. The record is from RefSeq and is a predicted model, not a curated record. The transcript has 3 exons. NCBI's taxonomy places the organism in Eukaryota, Metazoa, Chordata, Aves, Charadriiformes, Scolopacidae.
AAAGGGGAAGAAGUGCAAUCUCCCAGGGGAUUUUUAACAUACCGUGGACAAAUAAAAGCGUACCGAGGUACGGCCAGGAGGUGUUGGAGCCCAGCAGGUUAAGCAACAACAUUUGUAGAGAGAUGCCAUCAUUAUUGGUCCCGUGGCAGGCAUCAUCUCUCCUGAUGAGCAGAACUCGUUACUAUAAGCUGUUGCCAUAAGCAUUUCAGCACAGGAAAUAUUUGUGUUUCAUUCACCAAGAAGAGCAGAACAACACAAAAUUGGAAGUUACCCUUGUGGUGGGGAGAAGCAGUGACCCUGCAAAGCCACGAGAACAAUUAAAAUUGGAUUUGUAACAAGACAGCUCUGCCAAAGACAACCAUUGACAAAAACUGCUAAAAUCACAGUUCUUCAAGACUCCUCUUAGAUGGCUAUUGAGUUAAUAC